CCUUAGAGUUUGAUCCUGGCUCAGGACGAACGCUGGCGGCGCGCCUAACACAUGCAAGUCGAACGAGCGAGAGAGAGCUUGCUUUCUCGAGCGAGUGGCGAACGGGUGAGUAACGCGUGAGGAACCUGCCUCAAAGAGGGGGACAACAGUUGGAAACGACUGCUAAUACCGCAUAAGCCCACAGUGCCGCAUGGCACAGAGGGAAAAGGAGCAAUCCGCUUUGAGAUGGCCUCGCGUCCGAUUAGCUAGUUGGUGAGGUAAUGGCCCACCAAGGCGACGAUCGGUAGCCGGACUGAGAGGUUGAACGGCCACAUUGGGACUGAGACACGACCCAGACUCCUACGGGAGGCAGCAGUGGGGAAUAUUGCACAAUGGGGGAAACCCUGAUGCAGCGACGCCGCGUGGAGGAAGAAGGUCUUCGGAUUGUAAACUCCUGUUGUUGAGGAAGAUAAUGACGGUACUCAACAAGGAAGUGACGGCUAACUACGUGCCAGCAGCCGCGGUAAAACGUAGGUCACAAGCGUUGUCCGGAAUUACUGGGUGUAAAGGGAGCGCAGGCGGGAAGACAAGUUGGAAGUGAAAUCCAUGGGCUCAACCCAUGAACUGCUUUCAAAACUGUUUUUCUUGAGUAGUGCAGAGGUAGGCGGAAUUCCCGGUGUAGCGGUGGAAUGCGUAGAUAUCGGGAGGAACACCAGUGGCGAAGGCGGCCUACUGGGCACCAACUGACGCUGAGGCUCGAAAGUGUGGGUAGCAAACAGGAUUAGAUACCCUGGUAGUCCACACCGUAAACGAUGAUUACUAGGUGUUGGAGGAUUGACCCCUUCAGUGCCGCAGUUAACACAAUAAGUAAUCCACCUGGGGAGUACGACCGCAAGGUUGAA
Molecule: ribosomal RNA, 881 nt
Filed under: uncultured bacterium
Lineage: Bacteria
Description: bacterial SSU rRNA
Rfam family: Bacterial small subunit ribosomal RNA
Source: RNAcentral